GCAGUGGUGGCUUAGUGGUAGAAUUCCUGCCUUCCGUGUGGGAGACCUGGAUUCGAAUCCCAGCCAAUGUA
RNAcentral lists this transfer RNA (71 nucleotides) under Loxodonta africana (African savanna elephant). It matches the Rfam family "tRNA". Rfam says of the family: Transfer RNA (tRNA) molecules are approximately 80 nucleotides in length. Their secondary structure includes four short double-helical elements and three loops (D, anti-codon, and T loops). Lineage: Eukaryota; Metazoa; Chordata; Mammalia; Proboscidea; Elephantidae. The record is from Rfam by way of RNAcentral.